GCGUUUCAGGUAUUCUUCUAAUAUUUAAUUAAUUUUGAUUAAUAGUCAUGAUAUGCUUUUUCCGCUGCGUUGUAUGUCAUGAUUCCAACAUCUCUCUCUUCCCUUUCCCCCAAAAUCAAAUCCCCAUCACCGACUUCUUCCACCAAAUCCAUCCUCAUCACCGGCCCCGACUUCGGACAACCCCAUCACUGUCGGCUGCGACAUCUCCAUCACCGGAUCUCCACGUGCCCAUUUCUCCUCCUCUAUCAAGCCACCGACCUCCCCCAACUCCGGCGACCGUGAGAUCACCCAACUCAGGUUAUCCAUGGCUAGAAAAAGUUUUAUGUUGUGAAGAGAGGUCGACGAUGUGGUAUUUUUUAUAAUUGGGAAGAAUGCAAAUCUCAGGUAGAUAAGUUCCCAAAUGCCUCCUACAAAGGGUAUGCAACG
Asparagus officinalis (garden asparagus) is the source of this 426-nucleotide long non-coding RNA. RefSeq lists it as uncharacterized. Lineage: Eukaryota; Viridiplantae; Streptophyta; Magnoliopsida; Asparagales; Asparagaceae. The record is from RefSeq and is a predicted model, not a curated record. The transcript has 2 exons.